RNAcentral lists this long non-coding RNA (364 nucleotides) under Elaeis guineensis (African oil palm). RNAcentral's name for it is "long non-coding RNA (EGUI_LNC053594)". Lineage: Eukaryota; Viridiplantae; Streptophyta; Magnoliopsida; Arecales; Arecaceae. The record is from RNAcentral.
UUUUAUGAAAGCACGCAUAAUAUAAAUAUUUUUAAAAUUUUUUAUAAAAUAUUUUAAUACAUAUUUAUUUGUAAAUCCUAAUUUGAAAUAUAUAAUAUGUACUAAAAAAAAUUCAAAGAAUAAAAAAACUUACCAUCUUAAGUCACUCAGAUCCAAAAAUCAUAGCCUUUGACUCAUGGCCUAAUCUUUAGAUCCAUGCUCCUCUCGAUCUAAAUCAAAAUAUUAGAUCAAAUCUAAUUUAUUAAUAAAAAAAAUUAGACUAAUUAGACUUCGUCUAAUCAAUCAAUAGGGAUAAAAAAGAAAGAGAAAUUCUAUUUGGAUUUAAUCAAGGCCUGAUCUAUAGUUCGAUAUGUGUCGACUUGAC